ACGCUGGCGGCACGCCUAACACAUGCAAGUCGAACGAAGUAGCAAUACUUAGUGGCAGACGGGUGAGUAACAUGUAGGUAUCUGCCCUUUGGCCUGGAAUAACACGAGGAAACUUGUGCUAAUACCGGAUAAGUCUUUACGGAGAAAGCUUUAUGCACCAUUGGAUGAGCCUGCACUUGAUUAGUUUGUUGGUGGGGUAAUGGCCUACCAAGACUGUGAUCAAUAGCUGAUUUGAGAGGAUGAUCAGCCACAUUGGGACUGAGACACGGCCCAAACUCCUACGGGAGGCAGCAGUGGGGAAUCUUGCACAAUGGAGGAAACUCUGAUGCAGCGAUGCCGCGUGAGUGAAGAAGGCCUUUGGGUUGUAAAGCUCUUUCGUCGGGGAAGAAAAUGACUGUACCCGAAUAAGAAGGUCCGGCUAACUUCGUGCCAGCAGCCGCGGUAAUACGAAGGGACCUAGCGUAGUUCGGAAUUACUGGGCUUAAAGAGUUCGUAGGUGGUUGAAAAAGUUAGUGGUGAAAUCCCAGAGCUUAACUCUGGAACUGCCAUUAAAACUUUUCAGCUAGAGUAUGAUAGAGGAAAGCAGAAUUUCUAGUGUAGAGGUGAAAUUCGUAGAUAUUAGAAAGAAUACCAAUUGCGAAGGCAGCUUUCUGGAUCAUUACUGACACUGAGGAACGAAAGCAUGGGUAGCGAAGAGGAUUAGAUACCCUCGUAGUCCAUGCCGUAAACGAUGUGCGUUAGACGUUGGAAAUUUAUUUUCAGUGUCGCAGCGAAAGCGAUAAACACACCGCCUGGGGAGUACGACCGCAAGGUUAAAACUCAAAUGAAUUGACGGGGACCCGCACAAGUAGUGGAGCAUGUGGUUUAAUUCGAAGAUACGCGCAGAACCUUACCAACACUUGACAUGUUCGUCGCGACUCUAAGAGAUUAGAGUUUUCGGUUCGGCCGGACGAAACACAGGUGCUGCAUGGCUGUCGUCAGCUCGUGUCGUGAGAUGUUGGGUUAAGUCCCGCAACGAGCGCAACCCUCACUUUUAGUUGCCAUCAUUAAGUUGGGCACUCUGAAAGAACUGCCAGUGAUAAGCUGGAGGAAGGUGGGGAUGACGUCAAGUCCUCAUGGCCCUUACGUGUUGGGCUACACACGUGCUACAAUGGUAUCUACAACAGGAAGCAAGACUGCGAAGUUAAGCAAAUCCCUAAAAGAUACCUCAGUUCGGAUUGCACUCUGCAACUCGAGUGCAUGAAGCUGGAAUUACUAGUAAUCGUGGAUCAGCGUGCCACGGUGAAUGCGUUCCCGGGUCUUGUACACACCGCCCGUCA
This 1319-nucleotide ribosomal RNA is filed under the name uncultured Alphaproteobacteria bacterium. RNAcentral's name for it is "uncultured alpha proteobacterium 16S ribosomal RNA". It matches the Rfam family "Bacterial small subunit ribosomal RNA", at positions 33 to 1399 of the family's 1533-position model. Lineage: Bacteria; Pseudomonadati; Pseudomonadota; Alphaproteobacteria. The record is from RNAcentral.